UAUAUUAGCAACUGCCGAAGACAGUAGGUGCUGUAAAGCGUAAGGAUAAAACGCCUACCGAGGAGAGUUAGAUUUCUACGUAAGUAUGAAUUGACGAAAACUCCGUGUCUUUGGAUGCGGAGCUUUUUUUG
This 131-nucleotide small RNA is filed under the name uncultured Mediterraneibacter sp. Its description in RNAcentral is "Ribosomal protein L10 leader". It matches the Rfam family "Ribosomal protein L10 leader". Rfam says of the family: This family is a putative r-protein leader autoregulatory structure found in B. subtilis and other low-GC Gram-positive bacteria. It is located in the 5' untranslated regions of mRNAs encoding ribosomal proteins L10 and L12 (rplJ-rplL). The record is from RNAcentral. Lineage: Bacteria; Bacillati; Bacillota; Clostridia; Lachnospirales; Lachnospiraceae.